Molecule: ribosomal RNA, 301 nt
Filed under: uncultured bacterium
Lineage: Bacteria
Description: partial 16S ribosomal RNA
Rfam family: Bacterial small subunit ribosomal RNA
Source: RNAcentral
CAGCCGCCGCGGUAAUACGGAGGGGGCUAGCGUUGUUCGGAAUUACUGGGCGUAAAGCGCACGUAGGCGGCUUUGUAAGUUAGAGGUGAAAGCCCGGAGCUCAACUCCGGAAUUGCCUUUAAGACUGCAGAGCUAGCAGGUGAGAGAGGUGAGUGGAAUUCCGAGUGUAGAGGUGAAAUUCGUAGAUAUUCGGAAGAACACCAGUGGCGAAGGCGGCUCACUGGCUCAUACUGGACGCUGAGGUGCGAAAGCGUGGGGAGCAAACAGGAUUAGAUACCCCCGUAGUCCCUGUCUCUUAUAC